CAGUAGCCACGGGAACACGUAGGGUGCAAGCGUUAAUCGGAAUUACUGGGCGUAAAGCGUGCGCAGGCGGUUUGUUAAGACAGAUGUGAAAUCCCCGGGCUUAACCUGGGAACUGCAUCUUAUACUGCGUAGCUGGAGUGCAGUAGAGGGUAGUGGAAUUUCCGGUGUAGCGGUGAAAUGCGUAGAUAUCGGAAGGAACACCAGUGGCGAAGGCGGCUACCUGGACUGACACUGACACUGAGGCGCGAAAGCGUGGGGAGCAAACAGGAUUAGAUACCCGUGUAGUCCCUGUCUCUUAUAC
This 301-nucleotide ribosomal RNA is filed under the name uncultured bacterium. RNAcentral describes it as "partial 16S ribosomal RNA". It matches the Rfam family "Bacterial small subunit ribosomal RNA", at positions 509 to 807 of the family's 1533-position model. The record is from RNAcentral.